UACGGGGGGGGCAAGCGUUGUUCGGAAUUACUGGGCGUAAAGCGUGCGCAGGCGGUUUGCUAAGACAGGUGUGAAAUCCCCGGGCUUAACCUGGGAACUGCGCUUGUAACUGGCAAGCUUGAGUGUGGCAGAGGGGGGUGGAAUUCCACGUGUAGCAGUGAAAUGCGUAGAGAUGUGGAGGAACACCGAUGGCGAAGGCAGCCCCCUGGGCUAACACUGACGCUCAUGCACGAAAGCGUGGGGAGCAAACAGG
This 253-nucleotide ribosomal RNA is filed under the name uncultured bacterium. Its description in RNAcentral is "partial 16S ribosomal RNA". It matches the Rfam family "Bacterial small subunit ribosomal RNA", at positions 524 to 776 of the family's 1533-position model. The record is from RNAcentral.